CGAUAAGUUUAACUUCAGCACCUGAACUCCCUCCUUUUAGAACCGACUCCAUUUCAUACACAAUCAGAACUGAACAAGAAUUGAAGUGGUAGAUGGUUUGAUCUUCAAACCAUGCCUUCAGCUCUAAUAGCUGGGCCAAAAUCCCAGUAGAACCACCAUAAACACUAGAUGCAAACAAACUAUCAGGUACCAAAUUUGGAUCAGCAGAAGAGUUGGAAGAAACAAACUUUCUCAGAACCAAUGUAACCUCAUCUGCAGUAAGCUUCUGGACAGCCUUCCUCUCAGGUUUCCAGAAUCCUGACUCCUUGUUGCCGUGCACCUGCAAGCCUGAUAUCCUAAAACCCAACGACAAGCUGCUGGUUUCUCUAUCUUUCUUAAGGCAUCGCUGGAAAUAGUCCUCAGGCGCUUGGGGAUACCAUGUUCUGGAACCAAUCUUAAUGUCCAUGAUGGAUGGAUGCAAGUGACCUGAGACAACAUCCUGCAUGAUAAGGUGGGGACGCAAUCCAGAUCCAUCAGAUGCCUCUAAGAUUUGAGUGCCAUAGAAGAUGGGAAAGAAUUUUCUGAUGUGAUCUGGAACCCUUGUAUUUGAUGAGAGGGAUGUGUAGAAGGCCACCUCCCUAGAGCCACGCUCAUCACCUUGAAGAGGCUUGUAAAAGCGCCCUGAAUCAUCUAUAAGAGGGCCAAGCAGUCCAUCACUCGCUUUGUGACCUGCAACCUGAUGUUCUGGGAUCUUAAGCAUGGUGUGCAAGAGUAUGAAGAAUAGCACAGCAAAGAAUAUUUCCCGACUUGAUAUUUAUAUGUCUUGAAGGGAUGUUCAAUCUGUAAAAGUAGCUUAUCGAAGAAUCUCUUGCCCAAGCUUAAGGAUUAGAUCGAUGAUCAUCUAGCGAAGGACAGUGAAAGCGCAAGUGUACCUACAAAGGUAAGGUUUUUUUUUUUUUUUUUUCUCUUGAGAAG
Molecule: unclassified non-coding RNA, 954 nt
Filed under: Hevea brasiliensis (rubber tree)
Lineage: Eukaryota; Viridiplantae; Streptophyta; Magnoliopsida; Malpighiales; Euphorbiaceae
Source: RNAcentral